Oncorhynchus mykiss (rainbow trout) is the source of this 3798-nucleotide long non-coding RNA. The record is from Ensembl. NCBI's taxonomy places the organism in Eukaryota, Metazoa, Chordata, Actinopteri, Salmoniformes, Salmonidae.
AUGUUCCUGGACACCACUGUACUGUGUUCCUGGACACCACUGUUCUGUGUUCCAGGACACCACUGUUCUGUGUUCCUGGACACCACUGUACUGUGUUCCUGGACACCACUGUUCUGUGUUCCUGGACACCACUGUACUGUGUUCCUGGACACCACUGUACUGUGUUCCUGGACACCACUGUACUGUGUUCCUGGACACCACUGUACUGUGUUCCUGGACACCACUGUACUGUGUUCCUGGACGCCACUGUACUGUGUUCCUGGACACCACUGUUCUGUGUUCCUGGACACCACUGUUCUGUGUUCCUGGACACCUCUGUACUGUGUUCCUGGACACCACUGUUCAAUGUUCCUGGACACCACUGUACUGUGUUCCUGGACACCAUUGUUCUGUGUUCCAGGACACCACUGUUCUGUGUUCCUGGACACCACUGUACUGUGUUCCUGGACACCACUGUACUGUGUUCCUGGACACCACUGUACUGUGUUCAUGGACACCACUCUACUGUGUUCCUGGACACCACUGUUCUGUGUUCCUGGACACCACUGUUCUGUGUUCCUGGACACCUCUGUACUGUGUUCCUGGACACCACUGUUCAAAGUUCCUGGACACCACUGUACUGUGUUCCUGGACACCACUGUUCUGUGUUCCAGUACACCACUGUUCUGUGUUCCUGGACACCACUGUACUGUGUUCCUGGACACCACUGUGCCGUGUUCCUGGACACCACUGUACUGUGUUCCUGGACACCACUGUUCUGUACUGUGUUCCUGGACACCACUGUACUGUGUUCCUGGACACCACUGUUCUGUGUUCCUGGACACCACUGUUCUGUGUUCCUGGACACCACUGUGCUGUGUUCCUGGACACCACUGUGCUGUGUUCCUGGACACCACUGUACUGUGUUCCUGGACACCACUGUUCUGUGUUCCUGGACACCACUGUACUUUGUUCCUGGACACCACUGUUCUGUGUUCCUGGACACCUCUGUACUGUGUUCCUGGACACCACUGUUCUGUGUUCCUGGACACCACUGUUCUGUGUUCCUGGACACCUCUGUACUGUGUUCCUGGACACCUCUGUUCUAUGUUCCUGGACACCACUGUGCUGUGUUCCUGGACACCUCUGUUCUGUGUUCCUGGCCACCACUGUUCUGUGUUCCUGGACACCUCUGUUCUGUGUUCCUGGCCACCACUGUUCUGUGUUCCUGGACACAUCUGUUCUGUGUUCCUGGACACCACUGUGCUGUGUUCCUGGACACCACUGUGCUGUGUUCCUGGACACCACUGUACUGUGUUCCUGGACACCACUGUACUGUGUUCCUGGACACCACUGUACUGUGUUCCUGGACACCACUGUACUGUGUUCCUGGACACCACUGUGCUGUGUUCCUGGACACCACUGUACUGUGUUCCUGGACACCACUGUGCUGUGUUCCUGGACACCACAGUUCUGUGUUCCUGGACACCACUGUACUGUGUUCCUGGACACCACUGUACUGUGUUCCUGGACACCACUGUUCUAUGUUCCUGGACACCACUGUACUGUGUUCCUGGACACCACUGUGCUGUGUUCCUGGACACCACUGUACUGUGUUCCUGGACACCACUGUGCUGUGUUCCUGGACACCACUGUUCUGUGUUCCUGGACACCACUGUGCUGUGUUCCUGGACACCACUGUGCUGUGUUCCUGGACACCACUGUGCUGUGUUCCUGGACACCACUGUUCUGUGUUCCUGGACACCACUGUGCUGUGUUCCUGGACACCACUGUUCUGUGUUCCUGGACACCACUGUGCUGUGUUCCUGGACACCACUGUGCUGUGUUCCUGGACACCACUGUGCUGUGUUCCUGGACACCACUGUGCUGUGUUCCUGGACACCACUGUUCUGUGUUCCUGGACACCACUGUUCUGUGUUCCUGGACACCACUGUUCUGUGUUCCUGGACACCACUGUUCUGUGUUCCUGGACACCACUGUACUGUGUUCCUGGACACCACUGUUCUGUGUUCCUGGACACCACUGUUCUGUGUUCCUGGACACCUCUGUACUGUGUUCCUGGACACCACUGUUCAAUGUUCCUGGACACCACUGUACUGUGUUCCUGGACACCAUUGUUCUGUGUUCCAGGACACCACUGUUCUGUGUUCCUGGACACCACUGUACUGUGUUCCUGGACACCACUGUACUGUGUUCCUGGACACCACUGUACUGUGUUCAUGGACACCACUCUACUGUGUUCCUGGACACCACUGUUCUGUGUUCCUGGACACCACUGUUCUGUGUUCCUGGACACCUCUGUACUGUGUUCCUGGACACCACUGUUCAAAGUUCCUGGACACCACUGUACUGUGUUCCUGGACACCACUGUUCUGUGUUCCAGUACACCACUGUUCUGUGUUCCUGGACACCACUGUACUGUGUUCCUGGACACCACUGUGCCGUGUUCCUGGACACCACUGUACUGUGUUCCUGGACACCACUGUUCUGUACUGUGUUCCUGGACACCACUGUACUGUGUUCCUGGACACCACUGUUCUGUGUUCCUGGACACCACUGUUCUGUGUUCCUGGACACCACUGUGCUGUGUUCCUGGACACCACUGUGCUGUGUUCCUGGACACCACUGUACUGUGUUCCUGGACACCACUGUUCUGUGUUCCUGGACACCACUGUACUUUGUUCCUGGACACCACUGUUCUGUGUUCCUGGACACCUCUGUACUGUGUUCCUGGACACCUCUGUACUGUGUUCCUGGACACCACUGUUCUGUGUUCCUGGACACCACUGUUCUGUGUUCCUGGACACCUCUGUACUGUGUUCCUGGACACCUCUGUUCUAUGUUCCUGGACACCACUGUGCUGUGUUCCUGGACACCUCUGUUCUGUGUUCCUGGCCACCACUGUUCUGUGUUCCUGGACACCUCUGUUCUGUGUUCCUGGCCACCACUGUUCUGUGUUCCUGGACACAUCUGUUCUGUGUUCCUGGACACCACUGUGCUGUGUUCCUGGACACCACUGUGCUGUGUUCCUGGACACCACUGUACUGUGUUCCUGGACACCACUGUACUGUGUUCCUGGACACCACUGUACUGUGUUCCUGGACACCACUGUACUGUGUUCCUGGACACCACUGUGCUGUGUUCCUGGACACCACUGUACUGUGUUCCUGGACACCACUGUGCUGUGUUCCUGGACACCACAGUUCUGUGUUCCUGGACACCACUGUACUGUGUUCCUGGACACCACUGUACUGUGUUCCUGGACACCACUGUUCUGUGUUCCUGGACACCACUGUACUGUGUUCCUGGACACCACUGUGCUGUGUUCCUGGACACCACUGUACUGUGUUCCUGGACACCACUGUGCUGUGUUCCUGGACACCACUGUUCUGUGUUCCUGGACACCACUGUGCUGUGUUCCUGGACACCACUGUGCUGUGUUCCUGGACACCACUGUGCUGUGUUCCUGGACACCACUGUUCUGUGUUCCUGGACACCACUGUGCUGUGUUCCUGGACACCACUGUUCUGUGUUCCUGGACACCACUGUGCUGUGUUCCUGGACACCACUGUGCUGUGUUCCUGGACACCACUGUGCUGUGUUCCUGGACACCACUGUGCUGUGUUCCUGGACACCACUGUUCUGUGUUCCUGGACACCACUGUUCUGUGUUCCUGGACACCACUGUUCUGUGUUCCUGGACACCACUGUUCUGUGUUCCUGGACACCACUGUACUGUGUUCCUGGACACCACUGUUCUGUGUUCCUGGACACCACUGUUCUUUGCACUGACAUUUGA